CAACAUGAUCACGUUGAGAUCAUAGCUAACGACCAGGGGAAUAGAACGACACCAUCUUAUGUGGGGUUCACUGAUACUAAACGUUUGAUUGGAGACGCUGCCAAGAAUCAGGUCACCAUGAAUCCAACCAACACUGUUUUUGAUUCUAAAAGGUUGAUUGGAAGGCGAUACAGCGAUGCCUCUGUGCAAAGGGACAUGAAACUAUGGCCUUU
This 212-nucleotide unclassified non-coding RNA is filed under the name Hevea brasiliensis (rubber tree). Lineage: Eukaryota; Viridiplantae; Streptophyta; Magnoliopsida; Malpighiales; Euphorbiaceae. The record is from RNAcentral.